This 250-nucleotide ribosomal RNA is filed under the name uncultured bacterium. RNAcentral describes it as "partial 16S ribosomal RNA". It matches the Rfam family "Bacterial small subunit ribosomal RNA", at positions 515 to 764 of the family's 1533-position model. The record is from RNAcentral.
CCGCGGUAAUACGAAGGGGGCUAGCGUUGUUCGGAUUUACUGGGCGUAAAGCGCGUGUAGGCGGGUCGUUAAGUUGGGGGUGAAAUCCCGGAGCUCAACUCCGGAACUGCCUCCAAAACUGGCGACCUGGAGCAAGAUAGAGGCGAGUGGAAUUCCGAGUGUAGAGGUGAAAUUCGUAGAUAUUCGGAGGAACACCAGUGGCGAAGGCGACUCGCUGGAUCUUUGCUGACGCUGAGACGCGAAAGCGUGG